This 497-nucleotide ribosomal RNA is filed under the name uncultured bacterium. Its description in RNAcentral is "partial 16S ribosomal RNA". It matches the Rfam family "Bacterial small subunit ribosomal RNA", at positions 28 to 507 of the family's 1533-position model. The record is from RNAcentral.
GACGAACGCUGGCGGCGUGCCUAAUACAUGCAAGUCGGACGCUGAAGAGAGGAGCUUGCUCUUCUUGGAUGAGUUGCGAACGGGUGAGUAACGCGUAGGUAACCUGCCUUGUAGCGGGGGAUAACUAUUGGAAACGAUAGCUAAUACCGCAUAACAAUGGAUGACACAUGUCAUUUAUUUGAAAGGGGCAAUUGCUCCACUACAAGAUGGACCUGCGUUGUAUUAGCUAGUAGGUGAGGUAACGGCUCACCUAGGCGACGAUACAUAGCCGACCUGAGAGGGUGAUCGGCCACACUGGGACUGAGACACGGCCCAGACUCCUACGGGAGGCAGCAGUAGGGAAUCUUCGGCAAUGGGGGCAACCCUGACCGAGCAACGCCGCGUGAGUGAAGAAGGUUUUCGGAUCGUAAAGCUCUGUUGUAAGUCAAGAACGAGUGUGAGAGUGGAAAGUUCACACUGUGACGGUAGCUUACCAGAAAGGGACGGCUAACUACGUG